This 1869-nucleotide ribosomal RNA is filed under the name Triticum aestivum (bread wheat). Its description in RNAcentral is "partial small subunit ribosomal RNA". Lineage: Eukaryota; Viridiplantae; Streptophyta; Magnoliopsida; Poales; Poaceae. The record is from RNAcentral.
AUGGCUGCGGACGACGGCGAGCCCACCACCGUCGUCUCGCCAACGCCGCACCCGGAGGAGGAGCCUACCCUGUCCGCGGACGUCCUCUUCGAGCCAACGGCACUGUCGCUGCUGCCGCCGCCGCGGGAGGAGGAUAAGGAGGGGGAGGACCCGGAGGAAAAUCCUAUCGUCGCUCCAAUGCUGCCGUCGCAGCUGCAGGUGGAGAAGGAGGAGGACGAGCAGCUGGUGCCCGCCGCGGCGCUGCCCGAUCCGCUCGAAUCGGGCCCGGCUCCAUUCAAGGGACACGAGGAGACAUCGCAAGACAAAGAUCCCUUCCAGGUUCCCGGUCCAGCAAAUGAGGACAAGCCCUGUCAAGACCAAAAUCCCUUUCAGGUUUUGGGUCCAGCUCCAGCAAAUGAGAUAUAUGAGGAUGGUUACCCAAGUCAUGUAUACUCUGGCAACCCAUUUGGACCAUCUGUGCCGUAUACUCAGACUCUCUUGGAUUCUCUCAACGAAAACCUUGUACGAACUCGGUGUUGUUCGCGGUACAAACUGAUCCGUGCGAAGAACGACUUCCCCAUGGCUGCUUCGCUGAGUAAUCCUGAGAAUUGGACGUGUUUCCUCAAUUGCGUUCUUCAGUGCGUGGUUCACUUAGUGCCGUUUGUAUUGAAACUUCUGAAACAUCCUCAUCUAGGUGACUGUCCUUCUGAUGAAUUCUGCUGCUACUGUUUCAUUCGACACCAUGCUUCUGAAGUUAUCAGACAUUCGGGAAAUGUGCUAUAUCCCAGAAAGUUCAUCAAACGCCUGAAGUUAAUAUUUCGAGGUUUCAAGCGGGGACAACACCAAGAUGCACAUGAGUUCCUCCGCUGCUUGCUUGAUAAAUUAGACAUGGUAACCGUCACUCCCAGUUCUAAAUCCAAGGAACCCUCUUCUAUUGUCAAUGAAUUUUUUGGGGGCGAACAGAAGAGCCAGUUAAAUUGCCCAAAUUGCGGUCGUUGCUCAGACCGUUUGGAGUCUUUCCUUGACCUUAACCUGGAGGUGAAUCAGAUGGGGAAUAUCACAGACUUACUAUCAGCUUUUACAAGAAUUGAGGUGAUUGAAGAUUAUCUUUGUGAUGGAUGCAAAACUCGUGUGAACAUGGAAAAGUGCCUGAAGGUGGAGCGGGCUCCAAAAGUUCUUGUAAUCCAGCUCAAACGGUUUCAAAAUUUUGGGGGGGAUAUAUCUAAAAUUGAUCACAUGGUGAAUUACCCGUUUGAGCUGGACUUAAAGCCUUUCAUGAGCUGCACGGAUGAUGAACCUCAUACAUAUGAUCUGUACGGAAUUGUGCAGCAUUUUGGUGAAACUGCCAGAGGUCACUACGUGUGUUAUGUCCGUUCAUCUGAAAUUGAUUGGUUUCUUCUAAACGAUGAUAAGGUUGUGAAAAUGAGCCAGGACAAACUUCUACAGAUGGAAGCAUAUAUGCUGUUCUACGUCAAGAAGGGUGAAUCCUCAUGGUUCUCUACAUUACAUCAGAACAAGGAAAUGCUGCUGUCAGAUUAUUUUGGACAAUUGGCGGGCAAAGGAUUAGAUGAAGACGGUGCCUCGAAAUCUGGCAGCUACACUAGCAAUGAGAGUGACAAUGAGUGUAUCGAACAACAUGAUGCAGGCUCCCAUGGAGGGUCAUCACAAGAGAAUGGGAGAAGCUGCAACUUACUCCAGUCAUCAUCACAUAAAAAUGAAGACGACUACUGCUGUCCUGAAAACUUGACAUCGCAUGAAGAAGACGAGAAGAUGGGCUUAUGUGAUUCUCCUGCUGGCACUUCAAGGAUCAGACUGAUAGGCUCCAACUCCGACCGCAUUGUUAAUGGUAAUAUGUUCCUUAAGCUUUCAGCGCAAGAAAAGGGAUGGUGA